CCUACGGGCGGCAGCAGUGAGGAAUAUUGGUCAAUGGGCGCGAGCCUGAACCAGCCAAGUCGCGUGAGGGAAGACGGCCCUGCGUGUUGUAAACCUCUUUUGCCAGGGAACAACGGGCGCCACGUGUGGCGCCACUGAGAGUACCCGAAGAAAAAGCAUCGCCUAACUCCUUGCCAGCAGCCGCGGUAAUACGGAGGAUGCGAGCGUUAUCCGGAUUUAUUGGGUUUAAAGGGUGCGUAGGCGGAGCGUUAAUUCAGGGGUCAAAUUUAGGGGCCCAACCCCUUCCCGCCAUUGAAACUGGCGCUCUUGAGUGGAAGAGAAGUAUGCGGAAUGCGUGGUGUAGCGGUGAAAUGCUUAGAUAUCACGAAGAACUCCGAUUGCGAAGGCAGCUUACUAAACUGCCACUGACAUUGAUGCUCGAAAGUGUGGGUAUCAAACAGGAUUAGAUACCCCGGUAGUC
This 460-nucleotide ribosomal RNA is filed under the name uncultured bacterium. RNAcentral describes it as "partial 16S ribosomal RNA". It matches the Rfam family "Bacterial small subunit ribosomal RNA", at positions 338 to 795 of the family's 1533-position model. The record is from RNAcentral.